UCUCUUCAGGGAGCCCCACCCUUUCACCAAGCUGGCUCUGGCCCGGUGUUACUGCCGCAGACACCGGAAACCCCCUUGGAAAAUGCGUGUUGUUCUGUGUAAAACGCUGCAGUAACCAGCUUGCCUCUCUCUCUCUCUCUCUCUCCCGGAACCUCUUAACUUGUUUGCUUUUAAGGAACGUUGGGGAGUUUCUACACUUCCUGAAGGAGACUUCCCAAGGCAGAACUGCGAGGUGCCGACUGUGGAUGGAAGGAAAAAAAACCAGUCCUAAAAGAUCUCGUAUUGCAAAUAUCAUAGUCCCUGCUUAAUAAGAACGCCACAGCCCGAGCGCCAGGCCUGAGGACCAGCUGACUCUACCCUCUCUGCGGAGGGUGUGAGUAAUGAACCUCCCCCGUCCACGGGCGGGGGUCCUCACUGUAUCCUAAACUGCCCAUCCCUUGCAAAUCAGCCCGAUUCUUUUCAACCAAGGAGCAGUGCCCGGAGUAGAGGGCGUGAGCUGCUGGAGCGCAGGUGGGCGCUAGGGGGCACGAGGGGUGAAGUCCGCAGGCCCUGUAUUUCCAGUCUCGCCAGCCCUUUUCUCCAAAUCUGUGGAAUUGGUCUGGUCUUCCAGCAUCCCCAGACUUUGAACCAGUUUUUGCUGGUCAUUUCAACAGGGUUCGAAAUUAAUCACUCAUCGUCGCAGCUCUUUGGAACAAGAUCCAUGCUCUAGCUGUUUAAAGCUGUUUAAACUGUUCCAACAGUCAGUUUCUUUUUCUGCUUUUCUUAUCAGGCUUACACAAUUGGCUUUAGAUUUUCCCCCAUGGGUUUCUUUUUUUUUUUUUUUUGCACAUCCCCCGGGGCACAGGCUGUAUUAUUUACUUUGGCGUUGUGGAGGGGAGGGCUACUCUUUAGUUGUGUGCGGUUGGUUGCCUUAGCUUUGUUCUUGAGCCAUUAGGCUGCCUUAUUCCAUAAUACAUGAAGGUUUUAUUUGAGAGCCGCAGUCAUCCGCCUCUGCUAGCCAGGGAAGAUAAAAUUAGAGGGUGAUGGUUGUGUCUCCCAGGCACCUGCUUAUUGUUGUAAUCAUACAAGUAAUGAACAUUUAACCACCUUCUCUGUGCUCACAGUUUUCAACCCUCACAGCCUUAGGAAAAGACGAAUGAUUUUCUUUAAUUGUACAGAGAGUAUCAAAAGUCUGGAUUUGAACUCCAAACUAUUUCAAAGCCCUUGCCACUUUGGGGUCUGAACAUUAAGUCAAGAGGUUAUUUCGAAUUCCAGGAUUAUGGAAUCAAUUUUUUUUUGGUUGGAGACAGUGGGAAAUGAGUAGAAUAUGGUAGUUGAAAGUACAGACUGAAAUCUUAGAAUCUGGAUUAGACUCUGACUCUGCUGAAUACUGUCUCCUGGAAAUUACUUCCCAAACUUUAUUGUUAUAAUUCAAAGAUGGGGCAAAAUCAUAAUACACAUCUCACAGCUUCACGGAGGGAAUUAAAUUAGAUGUGUUUAAAUGCUCAGGACAGGGGCAAACAGAAGGUGCUUCAUCUAUGUUUGUGCUAAUAAAUAUCAAGAUCAAAGAAGUGUGAGUGAAAAUUUAUCUUCUUAAACUAGCACUUCUAUUAUUUUCAUUCUUAGCUUUUUCUCUUGGCUGCAGAUAAGCUAAUUUCAGUCUAGGGAGAAUCAUACCGGGUACUGUUUCCCCUUCCUCAGCAUUCAUAUGCAAGUAACAUGAGUUUAAACCAAGGAUGGAGUUAAAAGAGUCAGUCACAAAAGGAUAGCCCUGUGAAUUCUACACAUGUGAGAAGGCAGGAGCCAGUUUUCUCUGGUGAUUAGGUCCUCUGAUCUCCGGAAAGGAAUUCCAAAGUCUUGCAGGCCUCCGUGGCUUUGGGCUUCACCAUGGAUUGCUGCAAGCCGGCACAAACUAUUCAAUUUCUCAAAGCCUCCCAUUAUUUUUUUUUUUCGUUUCUGCAGAAUGGGGUUAAUAAUACCAUCUCUUCAAGGUUGCAGGAAGAAUUCAAUGACUUUAUGUGAAAGUGCUUCACAGAGUACCUGACCCACCAUUGUCUCUCAAUAAAUAUUUACUUUCCCUCUUCCUUUCGUCACGAUGAGAAUUGACUGAGUAUGGAUUCUUCGGUAUGUGAGCCUGCAGCUAAUUGUUCUUGCAUACUUGGAAAAAUGCAUUCAUAUCUAUGUUACUAUAAUUUUCUGUUGUAAAGGAUAAUUCUAAAGCCCCAUAACUGAGAAGGGUGAGUGAGCAUCCUCUGGAAUCAUCCUAGGGAAAAAAGGGUAGUGGGUGGAGCUAGUUAAUUACCAGAGUCUAAAAGGGCCAUAGCCAUCACUGCAUUCAGGGGGUGUUAGUUGGCUCAUUUUGCAAAUCGGCUGUGAACUGCAGAUGUCCCAGAGAGAGAAAAUUAAAAUUUUAGCAGAUCCGUAAGAGAACCUGGCCUCUUUUCGAAGAGAAGAUGAAUUAAGCUGGGAGGUAGAAGAGAAAUGAGAAACUGAGCCACACUCUCGGAAAGUUAUCGUCUGCCAAGAGGGUGAUGAGAUUUUCGAAGGAACUAGAAGGAUUUAUACUUUAGGCCAUGAUGGGGUAACCUGCACUAGCCCAGUUCCUCCAGAUGUAAACAGCUAUAAAACUGGAUGAAAAUAUCUGAGGCAGCUGGUUGCAGGCAGUGGGCAAUGGGGAGCCCAAGAUUGUUAUCUCCAAGAGACCAAAACUUAAAGGUAAAUCCCAGCUCUCUGCUGUGAGACAGUUUUCUAACCACAGCAUUGAAGUCCAAGCAGUGCUUGGAGGUAGAGAUGAAGAGACAGAGAACAGAGUGUAGCACAGUGGAAACAGCGGGAAUCUGCAGGAUAGAACAUUAGCAAAGAAGUAGCUAUGCAGAGAGGGCUUCUUGACAGUCUGUUGGGGCGAGAGGCGGCGCUCAUAAGACCAGUCUGAGAACUGGGUUGUAGAUGAGCAGGAAGAGACCAACAGGGGCUCACCAGAUAGCAGCUACUAUGCAGUUGGAAAUGAACAGAUACUAGCAAUGCUGGGGGAAGGGCAGUGAGUGCCCAAAGACUUUUGGUAUUCUGAGCCAAGUUUAAGGUUUCAUGGCAACCCCUGGCAACCAGCUAAGGCACCAGAAGAAACCUGUCAUAGGAGAACAGACUAUACUCUAGAGCAGGGUUCAGUAAAAGAAAACUUUUUCUAUAAAAGGUAAUAACAGUAAAUAUUUUGGCCUGUGCAAGCCAUGCUGUAGGUUCUGUUGUAACUAUUCAAUGUUGCCACUGGAGUGCAAAACCAGUCCUAGACAGUAUGUAGAUGAAUAGCAUGAUGAUAUUCCAAUAAAACUUUACUUUCAAAAGUGAAGUAGCAGGAUUGGCCUCAGGAUCAACACCUGUGCUAGAGAAAGAUCUAUUUCCUAUCUGCAUUAACAAAGUCUAAAACUAAACCCUAACGAAUCUCAGGGGAGGCAAAUUUGAAGUCUUUGGCCAACCAUUGUAGAGGAGCUUGGGAAAUACUCAGUGCCAGACUGAGAUUAUAUAAGUUCAGGAUGAUUAGCCAGGAAAUGAACUGCUUUCUAAAACAAGAAUUAACACUCUUCAGAGGAAGAUAACAGGACUCAGAAUCUUUACAACACACCAUUCGUCCAUUCGUAAUAUCCAAUGUUAUACUGUGUAAUAACCUAUAUGGGAAAAGAACCUGGAAAAUGAAGGGAUAUAUGUAUAUGUAUAACUGAUGUACUUUGCUGUACACCUGAAACUAAUACAACUUUCUAAGUCAACUAUACUCAAAUAAAAUUUAUUUUUUAAAAAAUACCCAGUGGUAUAAAAAUGGAAGAAAAGAAAUGUAAUUGUUUUCCUGAAAAAAAAAAUCCAGUGGUCAAUAAAAAAUUACUAGACAAAUAGGAGUUCUUAUUGUGGCUCAGUGGGUUACAAAUCCAACUAGUAUCCCUGAGGAUGCUGGCUCGAUCCCUGGUCUGGCUCAGUGGGUUAAAGAUCCAGCAUGAGCUGUGGUGUAGGUCGCAGACUCAGCUCAGAUUUGGCAUUGCUGUGGCUGUGGUGUAGGCUGGUGACUAUGGCUCUAAUUAGACUCCUAGCCUAGGAAUCUCCAUAUGCCUGGGUGUGGCCCUAAAAAAGACAAAAAAAAAAAAAAA
This 4109-nucleotide long non-coding RNA is filed under the name Sus scrofa (pig). RNAcentral's name for it is "lncRNA (ENSSSCG00015018203.1)". Lineage: Eukaryota; Metazoa; Chordata; Mammalia; Artiodactyla; Suidae. The record is from RNAcentral.